GCAAUUUUUGAGGAAGGUGUAGCCUACAGUAUGCUGGUAAGCUCAUGUUGUGUGUCCUGCACUUCCUCCAUCGCAAUGUUUAGGUCAGCUGCGACUCUCUUAAAAAGUUCCUGAAAAGGGAUGAAAUCUUCAGUAGUUGCCGAGGGCAAUGGCAUGAUAGCCUCGUCUGUCACAGAUGAUCGAGCUGCCCGGACCCUGCUGGGACAACACCGCUUUCAACUCCCUGGCGGACCUGCGGGAGAACUACUGAGGAAUGAUGAGCUGAGGACGGGAUGAAGGAACUGAGGGAAAGGUGGCUGUGCAUGUGUGACAGUGCCAGAUGGUGCCGUGCACCUCACAUGCUGUGCAUGCAUGACCCUCAAUGCACUGCUAGGAAGAAUCUGCUCUGCAGCGCUGGUACACACAGACACCUGCUGUGGAGCACCCCCAGGGACAUCUCUCUCUCGAAGAAACAGUGAAGCCAUUAGUUUUGCCAGUGCUAAUUUAAAUCACCAGGGUAAUAGGAUUCUCUCCUUGGGAUAUAACUGAUCCAGACCCUUCAGAAAUCUGAUAAUCACUCUUGUUUCUCCAUCCAUAUGUUAAUCAAGGGGUAAAAAACCAAGAUAGCUGAUAGUGGAACCCUGGCAAGACUAAGGGUAAGACCUCGCUGUUUCAGGCAUAACAAAUAGUCUAGCAUGUGUUGUAUUGAAAACCCCUAACUGGACCUGACAGAGAGACUUUCAUUUCAACAGUUAAAACUACCUAGUCUAAGGCUUCAAGAUGAUACUUUGUACCUCCUUUGAACAGAUCUCCUCCUGAGGUGUUGACCAUGGAGUAUCCAGGCUCUAUGAAGGACCACCUCUAUAGCUGUGGCCGUAUAAUAUCAGAUAUGGGUCUUGUGGUAGUGUCAGUGAAGUUGAGAGGCUCAGUAGUGGAAAAGCAAUACACAGCAAUACAAAGCAAUAUCACUCAAACAUGGUUCUGCUUGAUUUUUAACAACACUGUGUAGGAGCAGAAACAGAGGAUAUGUUGUACAUGAGUUGGUAUUUCCAGGGAAACAGGAAAGCACCCA
Molecule: non-coding RNA, 1051 nt
Organism: Pelodiscus sinensis (Chinese soft-shelled turtle)
Lineage: Eukaryota; Metazoa; Chordata; Testudines; Trionychidae
Source: RefSeq, a predicted model, not a curated record